RNAcentral lists this ribosomal RNA (789 nucleotides) under Triticum aestivum (bread wheat). Its description in RNAcentral is "partial small subunit ribosomal RNA". Lineage: Eukaryota; Viridiplantae; Streptophyta; Magnoliopsida; Poales; Poaceae. The record is from RNAcentral.
AUGAAGGGCUGGGGGGCCAACCUGGGCCAUGACGCCAGAGAGCGUAAGAAGGCACUUCUCACCGCGAUCCAGGCGCUUGACUUGCGGGCUCACGCGGUGGGCCUCUCCCCGGGGGAGUGGCUUUCCCGCUAUGAUCUCGAAGACCAGCUCUCUGUGAUUUACACCGAUGAGGAAGCCUUUUGGCUCCUUCGGGGCGCGCAGCGUUGGGUCCUGAAGGGUGAUGCGAAUACGGCUUACUUCCAGGCGAUUGCCAACGGUCGCCGUAGACGCAACACCAUCCCCUGCCUGUGGGAUGGGGCAGCCCUCCUUCAGGAUCCCCGCGACAUUCGCUCCCAUGUCGACGGUUUCUAUCGGUCCCUCUUCUCUCCAGCUACUCGGAGCGGCCUCUCCCUCGCUCCGGAUUGUUGGGCCGGCGCCCAACUUGUCUCUGUCGCAGAGAACACAUCCCUAACGGCUCCCUUCUCUGAGCAGGAGGUCCGGGAGGCCAUCAAGGGGAUGAACUCGUCCUCUGCUCCGGGACCGGACGGUCUCCCAGUCAUUUUCUUCCAGACUUUCUGGAACGUGAUUAAACCAGAGGUCAUGGCCAUCUUUGAUGAGUUCUUUGUGGGUUCUAUUGACCUUACUCGCCUCAACUACGGGACCAUCUCCCUCAUCCCCAAGGUCCCUGGGGUGACUGACAUUCGCCAGUUCCGCCCGAUCACGGUCAUUAACGUGAUCUUUCGGAUCUUGGCCAAGGGGUACGCCAAUAAGGUGAUGUCAGGACCCCGACUCGAUGUCACAUCGAUCUAG